GCCGAUGUGGCGGAAUUGGUAGACGCAGUAGAUUCAAAAUCUACCUUUGCUUGCAAAAUGCCGGUUCGAUUCCGGUCAUCGGCA
RNAcentral lists this transfer RNA (84 nucleotides) under Chlamydiae bacterium RIFCSPHIGHO2_12_FULL_27_8. RNAcentral describes it as "tRNA-Leu". It matches the Rfam family "tRNA". Rfam says of the family: Transfer RNA (tRNA) molecules are approximately 80 nucleotides in length. Lineage: Bacteria; Pseudomonadati; Chlamydiota. The record is from RNAcentral.